CCGCACUCAUCUUAGGGGCAUUUUAGUAAUCUCACGUAUAACAUAUGGUAUGAUUAAAAAUUUACUAUAAUUUUAUUCUAUCGAUCAUAGAUAAUAGAGUGCGAUUAGAUAGAAAAUAUAAAAAUAAGAAUAAAUAAGUGAAAACCUAAAGCGCAUUCGAAAUCAUGGGGUAGAAUCCAUCUAAAUAUAAAAAAGUUAUUUAUAAUUAGAUAAUUAAUUACUACCAACUGUUUACUGACACAGACUUACUGUUUUAGGAUCGAGCGAGCGUGUGAACAAGAAAUUUGGGUUCAAAUGGACCCAUGUAAGGCCCAAGAAGAUUUUUUACUAAUGGGUUAAUUUAAUUAAAUUGUUGCCAAGGGUAUUAGAUUUUAAUGUGGGGCUGCCUUGCAUGGCUGAAUGGGAAAACAGUUUGACACCUGCUGCUACACAAACCAACUGAAUAUACAUGAGUCAUGACAACUUAACCAUGAGGUGGCACCAUGUUAUUAAUAGGUAGUGUGAACAAGGAAUAAGUUUGAUUGAAAGAUGCUUAUGCAAACAAGGUGGCAGUAACUUAGAUUAGGUAAGGAUAGUUAUUGGUUUUUUGAUAAAAUGGGAAAACACCUACUGCUUCUAAUAGAUAAGGAUGGUUAUGAAAUGGACACCUCGGAUAGUUAUUGGUUUUUUGAUAAAAUGGGAAAACACCUACUGCUUCUAAAAGAUAAGGAUGGUUAUGAAAUGGACACCUCAUACUUCUGUUCAUUUGAGUUGGGUAUUUUGUAUCAAUCUAUGAGUGAGAGAGAACCGUUCUUGAUUGGAAACGUUGGAUCACUUGAAUUCUAUUUAAUAUAUUACAUGUACCCAUGAAUUGAAGGAGGCAUAUCCAGUUACAUAUCAAAGAUUGAAUGAAGAUAUUUCUUGAGUCAGAUUGAAGUCCUUAUAAGAUGGGUUGGUGGUGAUUAUCAAACGAGCAACUAGUGUUUGGGGUCAAGAGUUACUAGCUAAGCAAGAAGAUAAGAAAUUAAGGUUGUUGGUGAAGUUUGGCUACUAAGAAUUGUUGGUGACAAGUACUUUUGUGAUUUUGGCUGCGGGUUACAAGCACACUCAUUGAUGAGUUAUUUCUACCACAUGAACUGAAUUAAUAAUGAAAAUGAAACCAAAUGGAAACACCCACAAAUUAUUUUGGCAAAAGUUGGUGAUGGUGGGAUUAAUGGUUGGAACCCAUAUUUUCUGGAGCUUGUCAUAUAACUACUUUGGGACUUGAGUUUUUAGACGCUAUUCAAGAGCGAGCAAGAGGUAGGGACUUACAUUUCUUUUAUACUGUUUUCAUGUGUCAUAUUUUAAAUGUUGCAAAUUAAUUGACAUAUUAUUGAUGAUAAAAAUGCAUGCAUGGUUUUGUUCGGUAUAUAUAAAUUACUCUUGGUUUAUCAAUUAUAGUUUUUAUUAAAGUGAUUAGUUACAGAUAUCAUGUUUUAAACUGGAGUUAUGAAAGCAGUAUAUGUAUAUUGAAAUGGUUUUAUAAACGGAUUUCUCGAUAAAUCUUUUUCCAAUGGUGGAAAAGAUUUGGUUUUGUAAUGCAGGGCAAGGAAACCCGAUUGUAAUAUAUAACUGGGAUGUGUGAGGUCCCUAGAUUGAUGGAAAUAUUGAUCUAGUAUGCUGUCACGAUUAUGGCUGUGGCCCGGUUAGGGUAACCAACUGUACGGAUCAUAUUUGAUUGUGGCUGUGGCCCGGUUAGGGUAGCCAUGGAUAUUGUUUAAAUCUGGGGACUCACCACACAUUUAUAUAUAUGGUAUAUAUAGUUAAUAUAUAAUGAGGUCGUUUGGAGAGGGACCUGUGAAUUCCUAUAAUGAAUGAGUUGUUGUCAUAUUCCGGAGACGGCAGUUCAUUCUAGGAUGACAUCUAUGGUGUUCACCUUUAGAAGGUGAAUGGGCCGCCUUCUAGAGAGAUACAUUAAAGAUGUAUCCGGGAAUUCUUUUUCACCAUUCCAGACCACCAUUUAUGUAGUGGUACGUUGUUGAUAUAUUAGUUCAGAUGAGGCUACAUGUUACCUCGAUGAGGUUUAGAGGCAAGGGGUGAGAGUUAGUCCACUCCUGGACGUGUGUCAGGAUCCUGUGCAGUCUGCAGUCGUCGAACGGUUGACCACCGUAAGCCAGGGAUUCCUCGUAUCAGGAAUCGUGGUCAAAGGCCUACCUGAGCCUAAAUGGACGGGUUUAGUGUUCUUGGAACACAACAACGGUAAUACAGUCACCCCACCGGAAAUCAGGAAAUAACGGUGCAGGUUCACACUGGUAAGUACUGAACUAAGAGAUUGCCUGCGUCCGGGGCGGUAUAGCGGUCGUACCUCAUCAUUCUAAUAGGAUGCAACUACCCGACUUAUUGUAUGGAUUCAUGGUUAGUAUGAUUACUAUAAAAGGUAAAAGUUUUGGUUUAAAAGUAUUUACUUAUCAAAUUACUUAUGUAUUUUAUUAUUAUAGUUAAAACCUGCAUUAUUUCAACUGUUUCGUAUGGUUAAUCGUCAUGCAUGAUUAGAUAGUAUUUUGGAAAUGUGAGUCACUACUGAGCAAGUGAAAAUGCUCACCCUAUCAUUAACCCCUUUCUAGUUAAACCGUUGCUCGAGGUUAGAUCGAUUCGGCAGAUAUGGUUGUGCGGAGGUUACAAUGGGUAUUGGUAUAGGUAUUCGUGCAAUAGGUAUACGUAGUUUCUUUUGUAUAAAAGUGAUCACAGUUUAUAUUAUUAUGUAUUGUACUAUUUUAUGUAUUUUUAAAGCCAAUUAUAUAGAUGAAUAUCAUUCAGAAUCUUGUAUUAUAAUAUUAUUAUCAUGGGUUGGGUUAUUCAAAUGCCUCGAGAUCUGACAUUGAGUCAUAGGGAUUCGUGUUAUGGUUUUGGGGCUUUAGGAUGAAAAAUCUAUAACUAAAAAUAAUUAAUAAAAUUGUAAAGACUAAAUCUUAUUUUUGUCUAUUGUAGUCCUAUGUGUAUUUCUAGUAUUAUAUUAGUUUCGUAUAGAUACCUUUCGAUCUAUGGUGCUGUGAAUUGCACAUUGAUUUUCCCAACUUGAACUAGCUCUUGAUAUUCGGGAGCCAACCCAGCGAAGAUAACAGAUGGAAUACUAGAAUUUGUGGAUUGACUAGAUCUAGAUGAUUUGGGAAAGCUUGGGUUUAGAUUUGAUCUGUUAAUAUGUGCAUCUAUUGGUGAUUAUGAUAAUAUUAUUUGAUGUGCAGUUUUAUUUAGUAGUUAUAUUAAGAUAAGAGAAUCGUCAUUUGAUGUCAUUCUUUGAAGGGUGUUUGAUUUUCAAUGAAAUUUGGAAAAAUUAACUUGAUCUUGAUGAUUAUUGAUAUACAAUUAUGAAAGGAGAUUCAUUUGGGAAGUUAUUUUGAUCAGUUAUAAUAUUUUGAAGUCUCGAGGCUACAAAAAUCUGUUCUGUUGCUCGACAUAUAUUUUUUGAAUUCGUGGAACAUUAGGAGACAGUUCAUAAUUGAAAUUUUAGACAAAAAAGUUAGUAGUUUACCAUUAUUAUAUUAAGUGCUUCUUUAAGGAAGUAGUCUAUGAAAUAAGCUAUUAUGGAAAAAUUUAUUAGAAAUAUUUUGGAGAUUUUGAAUAUUAUUUGAGGAUUAUGCAUUAUAUUGUUUCUGGUGGCUAUAAUAGAAAGAAUUUGUUAUAAGCAAAGUAUAGUGAUUUUGAUAGAGUCCCGUAAGAAUUGGGAACUGAUCUAAAGACCAUUCCAUUAUAGGUAUGUCUAUAAUACAGAGUAACCGAGAUUUGUGAAGACUGGAAUCUAUUAGAGGAACAUUAGGAAAUUUUUAUUGUUAGGAUUUGUACAGGUGUUAUUCUGCGCUAUGGGAAUUCUGUAUUAUCUGUUAUACUGUCUAGUAUGUUAUAUUACUACCUUGAUGUAUAUACUUAUAUAGGUACAUAUGAUUUCACCUGUAGUUAUUGUGCAUAGGGGAUAAAUAUUAUUACUGUAUGUAAAUUUUGUGUGUGUUUUGUAAACCAUAUAGUCUACUACAUAUUAUAGUUAUAUUUACUACCAGGGGUUAGAAUGUGCGAUUAUAUAUCACUACAGGAUGAGUUUGUAGGUAGAGUAUGUAUUAGUAUUUUGAAGACUUAUGGAAGACGUUCAAUCUCUUAAGGUAAUACUAAAGUACUAUGAGAUCAUUUUAUAUAGAAAGUUGACAAUGGUCUAUUCAUUCUUUACUAGACAAAUAGUUUGGGAUUAUCAAUAUUAUAUGAUGGUGGGAUAUGAAUGGUCUCAAUUCUAAAUGAUUACAGUGAUUAAGAAAUGAUUCUGACCUUGUGAUUUAGGUUUUGGAAAAGAAAACUGGAACCUUAGGGCAAUAAUGAUUGGAUUCCAUAUAGUGAAAUAUUUGAUGAUAUACGUUUUAAUUGGCUUAAGGUUUGAAAUGAUAUUUGGUGGUUUAAUAUGUGAACGGCGUAGCUGUUAAGGAUUUUAUGUAAAUCUCUAAGACGUCUGUAGAACACAUUUACUGAAUAAUUUUGAGGAGUAAUGAAUAAUUGUAUUUAAUAGUUUUUUUUGAGAGAAUUAACUAAUUUAUAUUGCAGUCUGUCUUCAGAAGAUUUUCAAUCAUGAAUUUUUUUGAGGAGAUAAAAAAUUAUGAAAAUAUGGGACUUUGGGAAUUUCAUCUUAACUUUACUAGUUAUAUAUAGAACGAACUUUGGAGCUAUAUGAGAGCCUUAGUGAGAUAUGAUAUUUGAUUGUAUAUUAUAGCUAGUUUAUGUAAUGUAUAUAUUUUCAGAUAUUUAAAUAUGAUAUUCUGUUUAUAUAAGUCGAUACACGUUGUUAUAUAGCUAUUUGAUUCUUAGGCGUGUGGCCAAUAUAAUAUGUGGGUAUUAGUCCUGUUAUGUGCUUAUAUAUUUUUGGAUUGUAUAGGUUAGAGAUAUAGCCUUUUAGCAAGCAUAGGUUUUAGUAAGGAGUAAACUAGAUUUUAUGAAGGGUAGGCAAUUGUGGGAUUUUAUGAUAUGAUAACUCUAGCAGUGUAGGUAAGUUAGUACAAAUACUUGUACUGCCAGUUAAGGAAAGCUAACUAUUGUAAUUUGAUUCACUUGUUAAUCUUUUGGGAAAGUCCAUAUCAUUUUCUUCGGAGUAACUAUCAAGCUUUGGAGUUAUAAAAGAGUGAUUUGAACCCUAAUAUGAAUAAUCGAUUAAAUAAGUACAAUUAGUAUUUUAUGAACAUGGUGAUGUGAUGUUAUUGAGGUUGAUCUAAAUCUUAGUAGUCUGUACAAUCUAAACAUAUAGAAAUUUUUGAUGCAUUUUGGGACAUUGAAUGGAUUAGGAUUUUGAAGUGAAUUUUACAAUCUGAUAAUCAAUAUUGAUACACAUAUAUCUUGAAUUAACAGAAAAGUUGGAUUAAUGACCAGUCACUUAUUUAUGUUAAUUGGCAGACUUAUUUAAUGAAGCUUUGAAACGGGUGACUUUGAUAAAAUUUUGUGGUACAGUAAUCUUGUGUGAAUCUUUUGACAUUGUGACAUUUUGGGAACACUGUAAGGAGUAGACCAUAUCAUGUUUUCUUUGUUGUGUAUAUUUUGGGUAUAUAUUUAUCGACACCUUAUGUGGUAUUUAAGUUGAGAAAUUAAUUGGUGACUCAUCUUUUACCAGUAGUAAUUUCUAUUUUGGGCGUCUUAGGUGUAUGCAUGUUCCAAUCCUUUGAGUGUCUGUACUAUGGAUAAGAAGUUAUAUCUAUAGAACCCUUAGUAAUAGUACGAUUUAUGGAGAUAGUAUUGAUUUUUGGGAUUUUAACUGGAAUAUAGAAUCAUUAUGCUUCUUUGGCAUUGUGGAUUUUUGAGAUUAUAUAGGCAUAUGUAUUUUUGCGAGUAAAUUCGUACACUUUUGGGGACUUUCUGGUAUAUUGGUUUAAGUUGUUAAUCUCCUAGAUGUACAGUAAUGGUUUUACGUAUUGGGUUGUUGAAGAUUAUUGCUAUAUAUAAUUUGAGAAACUCUAUAUUGUACACUAUUCUAAUUUCGAGGACGAAAUGUCUUUUAAGGUUUAUAGGAUGUAACGACCCGCACUCAUCUUAGGGGCAUUUUAGUAAUCUCACGUAUAACAUAUGGUAUGAUUAAAAAUUUACUAUAAUUUUAUUUUAUCGAUCAUAGAUAAUAGAGUGCGAUUAGAUAGAAAAUAUAAAAAUAAGAAUAAAUAAGUGAAAACCUAAAGCGCAUUCGAAAUCAUGGGGUAGAAUCCAUCUAAAUAUAAAAAAGUUAUUUAUAAUUAGAUAAUUAAUUACUACCAACUGUUUACUGACACAGACUUACUGUUUUAGGAUCGAGCGAGCGUGUGAACAAGAAAUUUGGGUUCAAAUGGACCCAUGUAAGGCCCAAGAAGAUUUUUUACUAAUGGGUUAACUUAAUUAAAUUGUUGCCAAGGGUAUUAGAUUUUAAUGUGGGGCUGCCUUGCAUGGCUGAAUGGGAAAACAGUUUGACACCUGCUGCUACACAAACCAACUGAAUAUACAUGAGUCAUGACAACUUAACCAUGAGGUGGCACCAUGUUAUUAAUAGGUAGUGUGAACAAGGAAUAAGUUUGAUUGAAAGAUGCUUAUGCAAACAAGGUGGCAGUAACUUAGAUUAGGUAAGGAUAGUUAUUGGUUUUUUGAUAAAAUGGGAAAACACCUACUGCUUCUAAUAGAUAAGGAUGGUUAUGAAAUGGACACCUCGGAUAGUUAUUGGUUUUUUGAUAAAAUGGGAAAACACCUACUGCUUCUAAAAGAUAAGGAUGGUUAUGAAAUGGACACCUCAUACUUCUGUUCAUUUGAGUUGGGUAUUUUGUAUCAAUCUAUGAGUGAGAGAGAACCGUUCUUGAUUGGAAACGUUGGAUCACUUGAAUUCUAUUUAAUAUAUUACAUGUACCCAUGAAUUGAAGGAGGCAUAUCCAGUUACAUAUCAAAGAUUGAAUGAAGAUAUUUCUUGAGUCAGAUUGAAGUCCUUAUAAGAUGGGUUGGUGGUGAUUAUCAAACGAGCAACUAGUGUUUGGGGUCAAGAGUUACUAGCUAAGCAAGAAGAUAAGAAAUUAAGGUUGUUGGUGAAGUUUGGCUACUAAGAAUUGUUGGUGACAAGUACUUUUGUGAUUUUGGCUGCGGGUUACAAGCACACUCAUUGAUGAGUUAUUUCUACCACAUGAACUGAAUUAAUAAUGAAAAUGAAACCAAAUGGAAACACCCACAAAUUAUUUUGGCAAAAGUUGGUGAUGGUGGGAUUAAUGGUUGGAACCCAUAUUUUCUGGAGCUUGUCAUAUAACUACUUUGGGACUUGAGUUUUUAGAAGCUAUUCAAGAGCGAGCAAGAGGUAGGGACUUACAUUUCUUUUAUACUGUUUUCAUGUGUCAUAUUUUAAAUGUUGCAAAUUAAUUGACAUAUUAUUGAUGAUAAAAAUGCAUGCAUGGUUUUAUUCGGUAUAUAUAAAUUACUCUUGGUUUAUCAAUUAUAGUUUUUAUUAAAGUGAUUAGUUACAGAUAUCAUGUUUUAAACUGGAGUUAUGAAAGCAGUAUAUGUAUAUUGAAAUGGUUUUAUAAACGGAUUUCUCGAUAAAUCUUUUUCCAAUGGUGGAAAAGAUUUGGUUUUGUAAUGCAGGGCAAGGAAACCCGAUUGUAAUAUAUAACUGGGAUGUGUGAGGUCCCUAGAUUGAUGGAAAUAUUGAUCUAGUAUGCUGUCACGAUUAUGGCUGUGGCCCGGUUAGGGUAACCAACUGUACGGAUCAUAUUUGAUUGUGGCUGUGGCCCGGUUAGGGUAGCCAUGGAUAUUGUUUAAAUCUGGGGACUCACCACACAUUUAUAUAUAUGGUAUAUAUAGUUAAUAUAUAAUGAGGUCGUUUGGAGAGGGACCUGUGAAUUCCU
Molecule: long non-coding RNA, 7823 nt
Filed under: Aquilegia coerulea
Lineage: Eukaryota; Viridiplantae; Streptophyta; Magnoliopsida; Ranunculales; Ranunculaceae
Description: long non-coding RNA (ACOE_LNC000039)
Source: RNAcentral